This 16255-nucleotide long non-coding RNA is filed under the name Lactuca sativa (garden lettuce). RNAcentral describes it as "long non-coding RNA (LSAT_LNC002010)". The record is from RNAcentral. Lineage: Eukaryota; Viridiplantae; Streptophyta; Magnoliopsida; Asterales; Asteraceae.
UGAUACAGACACAAAAGCAUAAACGGCACAUUAUAAGUCUUACAACAGUUAUAUGCAACUAUUGGCCUAUAAAAAAAUAACUUGAUGAUUCAUCCAUCUUAUGCUCUCGCGUCACUACCUGUAAUACAAAUAAAACUUAGUGGAUCAGGCUUGAGAGUUUGGUGAGCAUAUAGGGUUUUCAACCCACAAUAAAUAAUAAUAUUUAAUUUCACCAACCAACAAUAACCCGGUUACCCAUUCCCAUUAUCCUCACUUUACGUCCCUAAAACAACAACUAUCACAAGGGACCUAAUAUAGGAUUUUUCAUCGGGAUAGACAUUACUGCAAAGGGGUUUCCUCAACAAUAAAUGUCCUAAAGGAAAUCAUGAGGGGGAUAGAGUAAACCGGUGAACACAUCGUUCACAACACCUACAGGUUAUGACCCUGCCAGCGUUCCACUAGACAGUCUAAAAAGAGUCUGUGGUCGUCAUCCAUACUCCGCUAGAUGACUAGAUUAACAACAUCAACAUCGAGGCCUCUCAUCAUUUUAUUUCAUCACACAACAACCGUCUACNGAUUAAUGUCUAAGUCCAUAACUAUAAUUGGUAAGACUUGACCCGACCCGACAUGGUCCAUUUGGGUUGCAUGGCAUCAUGCACUUGGAUAGACUAUAAUGAGAGAAAUAACACUUAAGGUUGAUUAAUAUAUUAUAAGUUCUAAUAUAUUAAUAGCAUUAUUUAAUUAGUAUUGAUCAAGAAUUAAUCUAUAAUUAAUUAAGUGAUCAAAAGAAGACUAAUUAAAUAUAUGGGUUGAUUGUGUAAAUCAUCCAUACUUGUAUAGUGGGCUAAGACUCCAUGGAUUAUCAAGUUGGGCUAAAACCCAUAGGAUGCUCCAUGGUGUAUUUGAACCCAUGGAUCCAAGGAAAUGGAAAGCCAUGACAAUUAGGGUUUACCUUAAUUGUGACACUAUAUAAAGACCAUAUUCUUGGGGAAAAAUCGGCCACUAUGAGUGAUAAAAAGGGCUAGCCGAUUUUCAUGAAGUGUGGAUUUCUCUCUAAUCUAUUCCAUAUGCAUUUGGUGCUGUGUGAACCAUUUGAGGUGUCACACUUGGGGCACUAGGCUCUCAAGCAUCAUGGAGUCAUUCUACAUCAAAGAGGUAUGUAUUCUAACUUGUUAUAUUUCAUGUGAAUCAAAGUUUUGUAUGCUAGUUAAUAUAAUACCUUGGAUAAUCAUAUUUGCAUGUAUAAUAGAGAAAACAUAGAUCCAAGGUAUUUAGGGUUUCAUGUACACUUAGGAGUGUUAGAAUGUUCAAAACCCAACAGUGGUAUCAGAGAUUAGGCUUGUUUUCUUGUUUUUUUGUUAUACUUGCAAAAUUGGCUGAAAAUUCGAAUUUUUGUGCUGUCUGCUCAGUAGACUCGUCGAGUCCAUGGAGGGACUUGACGAGUCCAAGGCAAAAUGCAUCCAACUCGCCGAGUUGGUUCAUGCACUCGACGAGUUGGACCCCCAAAGAGCAUAUAUUCGACUGUUUUGGCUGGAAUUGGACUAGGAACAUUACCCUAAGCUGUUUUUGAACUUAUAAACUUGUUUUUUGAUGUGGUAAUGUUCAUGCUAAUCCAAUUUCAAAGAUAAUUGUCAAUAGAUUCAUGUUUUGUGUUACUUUAAAAGUUAUGCUAGUUAGAUGAAACAGUUUGAUGUGAAUUAUCUUUGUUCAUAUGAGUUGCUUAGAUUAAUAGAAAAAGUUAAUUGAUAGUCAAUCCAGUAUAGAUCUAUACGCAAACUCAUAUGCUCCCCAAUUAAGGAGAUUCUGGAUACAAAAACGGUCAUGGCAGGUAGUGCCAUGCCCCGUUUAGUGGCUCACAUAACUGCAUGAAUGUAUAUGUAAUGUAUAUGCUAGUUGUAUUGUGUGUUCUUUCUCUGUCUAGCCUGUAUGUAUUGUAAUGUUCUUCGUGUACUAGCUGUAUUGUGUUUUCUCUCUCUAUCUAGCAAGUAUUAAAAUGUACUGUGUGUACUAGUUGUAUUGUGUGUUCUCUCUAUGUAGCAAGUAUUGACUCAUUGUAUGAUUCAUUGUUCUAGUAAUAGUAUUAGUAACUUCCUAAACUACGCCUAUCGUAGUUUACUAGUAAUAUGACUUGUACGUAUGAUCAUGAAUGUAUACCCUUGCUACCCAAGGGUAUUGAAUUGGCUGAUAGAACUUUUAUGUUUAUAUAUGUAUACAUAAUAUAUAACUAAUAUUUAGACGACCUUCGGACGGAUAACCGAUGCCCUAAAGCCACAUCCAAACAAGGAAAAGGAGAUAAAGCGAGCUAGCCUUCCUAAGUCCUUUAAACAUGACUUAUAUAACUAUACAUCCAUAGGCAUGCAUUUGACAAUAUAAAAGUAUAAAAAGAGUUUAAGUGAAAGUAUUUGACAAGCAAAAGAGUUUGUAAAAUAGUUUGAAGCAAAACAGUUUGAUAAUAUAGUUUGAAAAGUAAGAAAACCACUUGUUUGGUAGUUAUUAAUCACUUGUGAUUGAUAUAAUAACUAUAAUUGUUCAACUUGUAUCCCCCCAUAAAAGUAUUUAAAAACAUUUAAAAGGUUAAAUAAGGGGUAUGAACUCACAUGUAGUGAGUGGUAUGGAUGAACUNUAAAAGGUUGUUUAAGGGGUAUGAACUCACCUGUAGUGAGUGGUAUGGAUGAACUGAAGAAACAGGAUUGCUAGGUGUCAAGUGAAGACUUGAGCACACUCAAAGAUCCUAGUUAACAUAUCAUAACACAUAUAUGUAUCCAAUUAGUCUUUAAACAACUAAUCAACAAAGUUUAGACAUCCUAGGACAUGUUAAACACCUUAUAUAAGUGUUAUAAGUCCCAUGUAUUGCAUCUAAGUUGUAGGACAUUGCUAUUGGGUUUAGGGUUCAAGGGAACCCCCUUAUAUGAGUUUACGGUUUUGUGAACAUCACUCAUUGAGUUUAUGGUCGUAAACUCAUGAGUUUACGGUCGUAAACUCAUGCUUGUUUGACCAUGUUUUGUUUUGAUGCCCUACAAGUCCUUAGAAGCAUUUCCACUUGAAGUAUAAGCAUAUGGAAGGGAUUAGGGCACCAUUUCACUCCUAAAUGGAGUUUACGGCCCUUAGACCAUUUUCCCUUGGGUUUACGGUCGUAAACCCCUAUGGUUAAUGGUCUUUUGAUGUUUUCAAGUGCUAAGCUCAUUAAGGAAAGUAUCUAANAUCUAUGCUAGUUUCCAAGGCUUAGAAGGGACUAGGGCACACUUUGGCACCCUUUUUAGGGUUUACGGUUCAAGAACAUCUUGAACCGUAAACACCUUUGAUCCUUAGUUUCUUGGGUGUUUUCUUGAUGUUUAGAAGUGUAACAAGCCUUAAGAUACUCUAGGGUAGAAGUACUUAGAAGAUAGAGGCUUCAAAAGGUGCUAAAAGUCCAAGAACACUAGUGUGUGUUCUUGGUGAAACUUGAAGAUCCAACCUUUUGGAAUGAUUUCACGGAUGGAAGUGUGUUAGAUCACUAGAUUAAGUAAUAUAUCAACUUAAUAAGGCUAGAAACACUUACAAGUUGAAGAUCAAGGAGGAAAAGUCGGAUGCUACUUGAGAGGAUUUGAGUUCUAGCUUUGAAAUGGUGAAAAAGUGUGAAAAAUGGCUAAGUGCCAUAUAUAUAGUCACUAGGGUUUACGGUCCAAUUACCAUUUGGGUCAUAAACUCUAAACUCUUGGAGUUUUUGGAACUCUAUUGUUACACAAUAAACCCUAGGGCAUCCUCUCUCCUGGUAUCUCCCGAAGUACUAACUUGAAAUGACUCAAACUUAUUCCAAAAAGCUUGAAAGUUAGCAGAAACUAUUCUGACUUCUAUUGAGUUGAAAUGUAGUACAUAAUAGAAAUUUCGGGUUGUCACAGAAGUCAUACGCAAUAAUAGUUUUAGACUUAUCCAAGUGGGAGAUUGUUGGAUUAGUGUCUAAGUCCAUAACUAUAAUUGGUAUGUACUUGACCUGACUUGGCAUGGUCCAUUUGGGUUACAUGGCAUCAUGCAUUUGGAUAGACUAAAAUGAGAGAAAUAACACUUAAGGUUUAAUUAAUAUAUUAUAAGUUCUAAUAUAUUAAUAAGAUUAUUUAAUUAGUAUUGAUCAAGAAUUAAUCUAUAAUUAAUUAAGUGAUCAAAAGAAGACUAAUUAAAUAUAUGGGUUGAUUGUGUAAAUCAUCUAUACUUGUAUAGUGGGCUAAGACUCCAUGGAUUAUCAAGUUUGGCUAAAACCCAUAGGAUGCUCCAUGGUGUAUUUGAACCCAUGGAUCCAAGGAAAUGGAAAGCCGUGACAAUUAGGGUUUACCUUAAUUGUGACACUAUAUAAAGAUCAUAUUCUUGGGGGAAAAUCGGCCACUAUGAGUGAUAAAAAGGGCUAGCCGAUUUUCAUGAAGUGUGGAUUUCUCUCUAAUCUAUUCCAUGUGCAUUUGGUGUUUUUCCCCAGCCUCAAGCCAACAAGACGGCAUACGGUAUUUUUGUAUGUAUAUAGCUUGAUAAGGUUUCAUCUUAAUGCUCGAGUGGAAGCUAUUAUUGUAUGAGAAUUCUACCAAAGGUAAAUUUUCAUCCCAGUUACCUUAGAAUUCCAGGGUACAUGCUCUCAACAUAUCUUCAAGCGUUUGUAUCGUUCGUUCGCUCUGACCAUCAGUCUGUGGAUGGUAAGUUGUACUUAAACACAAAUUGGUACCCAAUUCCUCUUGUAGACUUCUCCAAAACCGUGAGGUGAAACAGAUGUCACGAUCUGACACAAUCGCUAACGGAACACCAUGAAGCCUCACAAAUUCCUUCACGUAAGAAUUUGCAAGCUUAUCCAUAGACCAUUUCUCAUUGGUUGCUAUGAAGUGCGCACUCUUAGUGAAGCGAUCAACGACCACCCAAAUCAUGUCGUGAUCAUUCUUUGUUCUGGGUAGUUUAGUGACAAAAUCCAUAGCAAUGUCUUCUCAUUUACCCAUAGGCACAUGUAAAGGUUCUAAACUCCCGUAUGAUUUCUAAUGUUGUGCCUUAACUCUCGCAUAUGUCACACACUUGGCCACAUACUUUGCAAUAUCGAGCUUCAUCGUCGGCCACCAGCAAUAGGGUUUUAGGUCCCUAUACAUUUUAGUGCUACCGGGAUGAAUCAAGUACAUGGUUUUGUGAGCUUUUCCAUUAGAAGAUCUCUUAUACCUCCUGACUUAGGCACCCAAAUUCGAUCUUGUAAUACCUUCAGUCCAUGACCAUUUGUACCAAACACUAACGUUUUCCCCAAACGUUCCUCCUUCCGGUCAUUCUUUUCAGAACCUUCCUCUUGAGCUUUCUUUAUACUUUCCACAGUGGUCGAGACAACUUCUAUUCUCAACGCUCUUGGCCUUUUUCUUUCAAGAUUGACUUUCCGACUGAGAGCAUCAACGACAACAUUUGCUUUACCAGGGUGGUAAAGUAUCUCAUAGUACUAGUCCUUAAGUAAUUAUAGCCAGCGUCGUUGCUUCAUAUUCAAUUCUUUCUGACUAAAGAGAUAUUGGAGACUCUUAUGAUCAGUGAAAAGUUUGCACUUCGAGCCAUAGAGGUAAUGCCUCCAUAUCUUUAGAGCAAAUACUACCGUUGCCAACUCCAAAUCAUGAGUGGGGUAGUUCUUUUCAUGCUCUUUCGGCUUUCGAGAUGCAUAUGCUAUCACAUUUUCUCUUUGGGUCAAAACACAACCCAACCCAACACCAGGCGCAUCGCUAUAGAUAACGAAGUCUUCAACUCCAUCGGGUAGAGAAAGAAUUGGUGCCUCACAUAGCUUCUUCUUUAGCAUCUCGAAUGCUUCUUUAUGCUUAUCACUCCAAGCAUAAGUACUUUAUGGGUUAAAGCUGUCAAUGUAUUAACAAUUGAAGAAAAGCCUUGGAUACACCUUCGGUAAUAUCCAACUAAUCCUAAAAAGCUUCGGAUCUUCAUGGGACUUUUUGGUUGUUCCCAUUUAAUCACAGCUUCAAUCUUUGCUGGAUCAACCAUUAUCCCUUCUUGGUUUACCACAUAACCCAAAAAUUGGACUUCUCGAAUCCAAAAAUCACAUUUGGAGAACUUAGCAUACAACUUUUCUUUCUUCAAGACUUCCAACGAAUCCAAAAAUCACAUUUGGAGAACUUAGCAUACAACUUCUCUUUCUUCAAGACUUCCAACACUUCUCGCAAGUGUCUGCCAUGCUACUCUUGGCUUUUCGAGUAAAUCAAAAUGUCAUCUAUGAACGCUAUCACAGAUUUAUCAAGGAACGGAUUACAAACUCUGUUCAUUAAAUCCAUGAAUGCUGCUGGAGCAUUGGUUAGUCCAAACGACCUAACUAAAAAAUCGUAGUGUCCAUAUCGUGUUCUGAAUGCAGUCUUCUCGAUAUCCUGUUCUCUUACUUUCAGCUGAUGAUAUCCUGACCUUAGGUCGAUAUUUGAAAAAUAACUUGAACCUUGUAGCUGAUCGAACAGGUCAUCAAUCCUCGGCAACGGAUAUCUAUUCUUUAUUGUUGCCUUGUUCAGCUCUCUGUAAUCGAUGCACAUUCUCAUAAUCCUGUCCUUUUUCUUUACGAAUAAUACCGGAGCUCCCUAGGGUGAUGAACUAGGUUUAAUGAAACUUUUGUCCAAUAACUCCUGAAGUUGCAUCAUCAACUCCUUCAUCUCCGUUGGUGCUAAUCGGUAAGGUGUUUUUGCUAUUGGCGUCGUACCUGGUAACAAGUCGAUACGGAAUUCUACUUGUCGAUCAGGCGGUAAUCCUGGAAGAUCUUCGGGAAAUACUUUUGGAUACUCACACACCACAGGAAUGCUCUGCAUCACCCUUUUCUCUUUCUUUGCAUCAAUCAUGAAUGUCAAAUAUGAUGUAGAUCCUUUGGCCAAACACCUUAUGGAUUUCAUUAGAGAAAUAAUCCCUGAAUUUACUUUGCGUUUGUCCACAUACACCAUAAAUGAGUCUUUCCCUAGUGGGUUUACUUUUACAAUCUUCUUCUUGUAUAGUAUUUCGGCAUCAUUAGCGCUAAGUCAAUCCAUUCCCAGCACGAUGUCGAAACCAUUUAACUCGAUAGACAAUAAUUCCUCGUGGAACUUAUUCCCAUUCAAAUCAAUUAAGAUGUUUUUCAUACGAUGGCUAACAGGUAUAAACUUGCCACUAGCAACUUCGACUAAUAAAGCAUUAUCUAGUCUAUCGACAGGCAAAACUAGUUUUCUACCAAAUUCAUGCGAAAUAAAUGAGUAGUUGGCUCCAAAAUCAAAUAAAAUUUGGGCAGUCAAUUCGUUUACGAGAAAGGUACCUGAAGCGACAUCAGCUUCUUCUUUAGCAGCUUCCAGUGUCAUCUGGAAGGCUCUCGCCUUCAGCUUUGGCUAAAUAUUGGGUCUUGCUGCCUCUUUCUUUUUCGGACAAUCCCUUAAGAUGUGCCCCUCCUCACCACAACCAUAGCAGACUUUCUUGGUAAUGGUGCAUUCGUUGGCAUAGUGCCCUGACUUCCCAUAUUUGAAGCACGUGGCUUCUCCGCCACAUUUCCCAAGAUGCUUCUUCUUGCAUUUGUCGCACCAUUUCGCUUCGCCUCCUCCACCUCCUCUCAAACUAGACUUCGAGAAUUUAAUUUACUUAUUAGACCCUGAAGGUCCGUCGAACUUCCUCUUCUCACCAACCUCUUACCUCUCCAGACCCUUCUCCCUGAUCUGGGUCUCAGCAUUUCUAGCAUCCCAGAUGGCGGCUUUCAAUGUGGUUACUUGCUUAACCAUUGGACCAAAGUCCGCUGGUAGUCCGAGGGAAAACUUAUUGACCUUUGAGAGUUCUGUUGGUACUAGGUAUGGGAUAAGCUUCAUCUUUUCUGUGAAACUUGCAGCGUAUUCGGUAACGCUCAUUUUUCCCUUCUUCAAAUUCUGAAACUCAUUAUUGAUUUCCAGAAGGUCCUGCUCUGAGCAGUAUUGCAAUUUCAGUUGUUCCACAAAGUCUUCCCAAGACAUCUUGCUAGCUUCUCCCUUGGGAAUCGAGUCAGCUAACAGCUUCCACCAACUCAACACUCUAGAUUUUAACAGAGGGAUCGCAAGAGUGGUCUUCUGUCUAUUGCUGCAUUCGCAACUUUCAAACAUUGUCUCCAUUUCGGAGAUCCCGUUUAUAACUUCUACCGGCGUCGGGCUUCCGGAUAGACAUGGUGGCUUGGAUGCCAUGAAAUCCUUGUACUUACACCCAUGCCCAUCAUUUCAUCCAUCCUGUUUGUUGUGUCUAACCACCGGUGGGUUGGCUUGGCCAAUAGUCCUACUGAAGUUUCCUCCUUCCGACUGCCCUUCACUUAAUUCAGGCUGAACAAUCGGCAUCGAAGGUUCUUCACGAUUCUGCUGCAGCGGACAUCUCUUUUCUUCCAUCUGACGAUCCAACAUCGUCUGAAUCAUCAAUUGUACACCAGCCAUUGUCAUUGGCUCAGGUGUUGCUGCUACAACAGGUAUUUGCUCAAUCACUGGUGGUUGAGGCCGUUGAUUCAUGUUUUCGUCUGCGUUUCCAACGCCACUUUUUGUUCUUGCCAUCUUUGAUCUAUACACCAAACAAGGUGAAUUUAGAUCCUCAAUUACGAUAGAAAAUCAAAUCAUCCUUAUCACUCCGAAACCUUUACAUGCUAGUUCUAAUACCGUCGUCAUACGCUUAGACCCCUAAACACAUAAGGUUUCCAGAUCCAGUCGGCAACAAACCAUACAUCCGAACAAAGAAUAUCAUAUAUGGCAAACAUAUAACAUUUAGCACAUAAAAGCAUUUUAAGCAACUUUCCUAAAAUAAACUAGUGCUCGUGUCUAAAAUACGACACACACUCAUCUCACAAUCUUCACUUAGCAUUAUAAGUUUAAGUCUAGAAAUCCUACAAAUUCCUAGUUCGCUUAAACUAAUGCUCUGAUACAAACUGUAGCAUCCCCAAAAUUACGGCCAAAAAAAGACCGAUUUAAUUUAUGCUUUUAAAAUAAUUUCAAAGUAAAUCCUUUGAUUAAAAAGGGUUGUGGAAUUUGCUCCCAAAACAAAAUAUGAUAAGAUAAAAUUUAUCAAAGCAUUUCUUAAAAAAUGUAUUUUCAUAUGUAACAAAACUCGGGAUGUCAUGUUCCAAUACAAACACAAAAGCAUAAACGGCACAUUAUAAGCCUUACAACAGUUAUAUGCAACUACUGGCAUAUAAACAAAAUAACUUGAUGAUUCAUCCAUCUUAUGCUCUCGCGCCACUACCUGUAAUACAAAUAAAACUGAGUGGGUCAGGCUUGAGAGCCUAGUGAGCAUAUAGGGUUUUCAAUCCACAAUAAAUAAUUAUAUUUAAUUUCACCAACCAACAAUAACCUGAUUAUCCAUUCCCAUUAUUCUCACUUUACAUCCCUAAAACAACAACUAUCAUAAGGGACCUAAUCUAGGAUUUUUCAUCGGGAUGGACAUUACUACAAAGGGGUUUCCGCAACAAUAGAUGUCCUAAAGGCAACCAUGAGGGGGAUAGAGUACACCGGUGAACACAUCGUUCACAACACCUACAAGUUAUGAACCUGCCAGCGUUCCACUUGACAAUCUAGAAAGAGUCUGUGGUCGUCAUCCAUACUCCGAUAGAUUACUAGACUAACAACAUCAACAUAGAGGCCUCUCAUCAUAUUAUUUCAUCACACAACAACUGUCUACCCAUGUUCUACCUAACAUAUUAGUGGAUAAAAAUAUAUACAUUUAUAUACAGCUUAAAACAUGUACAAAUCAUUCAUUCAACAAUUAUUUCAAAUAAGCAAAUAAUAUACAAACACAUAACAUGUAUUUUGUAGAGAAUACUUCGUAUCUAUUUGUUAGAAGAAAAGGAAUAUACACUCACUUGAUCGGAAGAUGAUUGAACAACACUACGACUCUAAAUGUAGUAUUCUUCGGUGAAACUGGAAGAUCUUCACACACCAUGCUUCUCGCAAGCAGAGCUUCGGCUAGGAAACUCUUUUCUUCUCGGGAUCUUCGGGCUUCGGGACUCGCUUCGGGUCUCGGGAUGAUACCGGGGCUUCGGGAGUAUAACUUGCAAGUAAAUCGAGGUAAUACAGAGUGAGUGAGAGAGGGAGAGAGAGAAAGAGAGAGAAAGGAACAACCAAACCCGGCCGCCCCUUUGAUUUCUAUUUAUAGGGAAAAAAUCCAAAAUUCACGUCAUGAGUUUCAAGUGCUCACGUCAUCAGCUCGAUUAUCAUCCGGUGCGUCACUGCAACUUGCCUGCUCACGUCGUGAGGACCCUGCUCACGUCGUGAGUUCUGACAGACCUCGAAGUUUGUGUUUCAAACUUCAGAAAUUCAAAUCUUUCGCAUACGAGCUCCGUUUUCGACGUUCUUUAUAUCCACGCGUAGGUGAGACUAAUCUCUACAACUUUCAUUUAGACCCGUCGGCUGAUUUUGACUUUAUUUUUAAAGUUAUAUUUUUAAUAGUCCGAGACAGGAAAUGUCCGUUAAAAAUUCAUAAUUCCUUCAUCCGACGUCCGUUUUUGUCUAUCUUUUCACCGUUGGACUACUAUCAACGAGAUCUUCGAUUGUCGUUUAGAUUGUUUCGGCUAGAAACCACUCGAUCUCAUAUUCGAACUUUGGGUUGCAUACCGCUAAGUCGAAACUUCGAAAAAUCAUAACUUACUCAUAUGAAGUCAGAUUUAGACGUUCUUCUUAUGCAUGCUCUCGGUUUAACUUAUUGUACAACUUUCGUUUAGAUCACUAAGGCUAGAUUUCGUUCUAUCUUAAAUUCAUAUUUUACGUCAUUUAGCGUCGUACCGGUUAUGUCGCGAAACUUCGACAGGUCAUAACUUCUUCGUUAUAACUCGGAUUUCAGCAUUCUUUAUAUAUUCGAAAACCUCAUCACGACCACUACCACAUCCUUCAUAGAUAUCAGGUUUAUCUAACAUUUCAUUUUGAUGCUUAUUUUUAUCCUUAAUUCAUUUAAGUCACACAAUUAAGUACAAAACACAUAAUACUCAAAUAAUACAUCUUUAUUAUUUCAAGACGGGUUACAAAGGUUAACCUAGACUAUUACAUCAUCAUUAAUGCCUAGCCUAGAAACACAGGCGUUACAGAAUGGCAUAACUAGAAACUUGUAGUGAUUGUACAUACCGAGUUCUGAAUGUCAUCUUUGGAAUAUCUGUUUCUUGGACUCUGAGUUGAUGAUAGUCGGAUCUUAGAUCGAUCUUUGAGUAGUAACGGGAUCCUUGUAAUUGGUCGAAUAGGUCAUCGAUCCUCGGGAGUGGAUAUCGGUUCUUGAUGGUGAUUUUGUUUAACUCUCGAUAGUCGAUGCAUAUCCUGAACGAUCCAUCCACCUAUUUUGCAACAAUAUUGUAGCUCCUCAUGGAGAGAAGCUUUGCCGGAUAAAACUUUUGUCAAGAAUUUAUUGGAGUUCACUAGGUAGUUCUUGCAUUUCUGAUAGAGCCAGGCGAUAAGGAGAUCUUGCCACUGGUGUUGUACCCAGGAUCAUGUCGGUUUGGAGUUCGACCUAUCUAACUAGAGGUACUCUAGGAAUUACAUUCGGGUAACCGCACACUACAAAAUGUCUUUGAUUUCCUUAUCCUUGUCUUGCAUAUCCACCACGUGGGCCAAGAAAGCGAAGCGUCUCUUCUGCAUACACCUUCUUGCCUUCAUGAAAGAGAUGGUUCUUAGAUUCUUUCCUGAUUUGCCUCUGUAGUUCACAAGGGCUUCAUUGUUGGGUAAUGGUAUUCAGACGACUUUUUUGUGAUGUAAAAUAUGUGUUUGAUGAAGUGAUAACCAAUCUAUUCCAAUGAUCACAUCGAGACUUCCAAUGGUCAUAGGUAUUAGGUUGACAUGAAAUACGUAGUUAUCCAUGGCCUUUCUACAAAACUUAGAGGCGUGACCUCUUAAGUUAUAGAUGUUGCAAACCAUGCAAUUUCUGACACGGUGAAAAUUGCCCUUGGUAAAGUGGGGUAAAGUCCUAGAGUAGCGCUUUGAUUGAGUAGGAUCGUUUAUGAUUAUAGGGUACAAAACCAUAGGUUUUGGAUUGGGUUUGUGGUGAUUGAAGUUCCCUUUUGACUUGCCAUGGAACUUCCUUUUUUCAUUCCCAAUCUAGUUCUUUUCGGUUUGUGAGGUUAUGGCACCCUAACGGAUACACUACUCAGUCAAUUGAUAGGCAAACUGCUUGGCAUUAUCAAAGAUAGUGGGUCUGGAUGCAGUAACCAGACCUUCAACUAGUGGAGUUAAUCCCCAGAUGUACCCUUCGGUAUUUUUGUAUUUUAGGUUCACCAUUCCUGGGCAAAGGUUUGUGAGGUCGUUAAAUCGAGAGGUGUAAGCAGUCCUCUCCAAUCCUUUCGUGGUAAAGUUCCAAAUUAUAUAUAGUGAUUGAUUCUAGAAAUCCUAUAGAUUUCCAAAUUACAGAGAGAUAAUUGAAAUCCUACCGAUUCCAAAUGAUANNNNNNNNNNNNNNNNNNNNNNNNNNNNNNNNNNNNNNNNNNNNNNNNNNNNNNNNNNNNNNNNNUAUAUAUAUAUAUAGAGAGAGAGAGAGAGAGAGAGACAGAGAGAGAGAGAGAGAGAGAAAAGUUUGGAGACUACUGAAUGAUUGAUUGGGAAUUAUGGGUUUCUCCGCUAUGACGGUAGCAGAGCUAUUCAUUAUUUGUUCUUCUUUGGAUUUGGAAAAACUUGGAAAAUCUGAAUGACAUCCCCUAUUUUUAAGUAUUUUUAAAAUGUAUAUGUUGUUUUGGGGUUGAUAUAAGGUUUCUAAGGUACUAAGUUUCUGCAGCGAAUCUUGAGAACAUCCUUCAAUCUCUAAAACUUUCAACCAUUGUAGUCUGUGAAACUCCUUGCUCCAGGUUGGUUGUUCGCCGACCCGACCAUAAAUAACAUAGGUGUACGUUCCAGGUUUAUUUAUGGUAUGACUUAUGUACGAUACUAACUUUAAUUAAGGCGUUUGACCUAAAGGGUUGAGUUGGUAGCUUUAGUUGGAGGCAUGUUAGAAUUUUAUUAAGUGUUCUCAUUGCAGGUCAGAGUAUAUAUAACUCUUACAUAUUAUUGUUGGUGGGUUUGGAGUAUUAUUAAAUUUUGUUUUGUACUCUAAGACUACCAAUUACAGACGAAGGCCAGAUAUGAAACACCGGAGGGCAAGACCGUUUUAACAAUUAAGCUGUUCUUACAUCCAACAACCAAGCGACAUUUCAAACCAGAAUCCCCUUAUCGUAAGUAGCCAAUAAGUAGUGUACUUGAUAUUAAUAGUACUUUUAUUUAAAAUGUAGUUUCUAUAGUUGUAUUCACCUUUUUGAGGAUACGAGUUCUCUAUAGCCAAUUUAGCUCUGAUACCAAUCUGUCACACCCCCGGCCGAGGCGGCAGAACAUGUCGGGUUGUGCGACUAAGUUCAUAGAUCACAUGCAAAUUGAAUAUAUUGCAAAAGUACAACAAUAAAAAAAUAGCAUUCAUGUUCCAUCUUGAUAUUUAGUACAAUGUUUUUACAAAUAACAAUAAUACAUGAAUUGCCUUAACAGAUAGGCAUAUGAUACAACAAGUAAACUAGGUCACCUGUAAUCAAAUCUGUCUUGAAUGUCUGUUUAAAGAUUUCUUGAGAAUACAUGUAGUUUUGAGGGUCAACAAAAGGUUGACGAGUGUUACAGGUUUUCUGCUACUGCAGUAAUACUUUUAAUAAGUCUAAAAAGUAUUAUCUUUGUAUGUAUAACAAUAGUUAAAACAAUGUUUGCAAUGAGUCUUUAAAAGCCCAAAAUGUAUUUCGGUGUAAGUAAAUCUAUACUUUAAAAUGUGUUUGUAAUAAAUCCUUAAAAUCCAAAAUGUAUCUUUUGUAUAAGUAAAUACAUACUUUAAACUGUGUUCGUAAUAACCUUUGAAUAUUCUUGAAAACCAAACUGUUAUGUUACAUAAGUAAUUUCAUACUUAAAAAUAGUUUUGAAAGCAACUAAGCCCAUGGUUGUUAGUGAGAGAGAGAUAUUCUAGUUAAUGUUUUUAGUGAGUCCUAGAACCGAACUACCUAACUGAAUGUACCCCCUACAACGCUUCAUUGGACGUUGUACUAACAAUGGUAGAUACUUAUCACCCGCUUCGAUUAACCGGUCGAGAGUUGUAGCUAGCAACCACAGGUGGGGAUGUCAACCCCGUAUAGAUCUAUACAUAUGUAUCUCGCUCUGAAGAUUAACGAUUACAAUAUUGUGGGUAUGCUAAGUAUUUAAACUCAGCUAAUGAAUAAUGUCCUACUAAAAAAACCCUUAACUAAAAAAAGUUUAUGAAGAACUCUCGACCCAAACUUAAUUGUGAUUGGGUCAGUAGACAUAAUGAAUAUCGUUGUCUAGAGUUUAUAAAAGCCGAGUAUGUUUGAUAUGUAUGUAAAAGUGUAAUGUACUCGCUUUUAUAAAGAUGUAUGUUUCGAAGUAAUGAAGACAUGUACAUGUAUAAACGUUAUGUAUUUAAACAUAUAAAUAAACAUGCACAAUAAUAGUUUGAAUCCUUGAAAUACUACAAAAUUGACAAUGUCACAUAAAAAUCAUAUAUUUUAUAUCAUGUAGUAUUUUUUUGUGUGAACUAGUUAUUUCACGAUAAAAUAACCAUAAUACGUAUACGGAAAGUUUAUGCUAGUUUAUCUGUAACAAUAUGGUAAAUUGUUAAAUAAUAAUAUUUUUAUAAACUAGAAUUAUUGUAUUUUCGCAUAAAAAGAAAAUUGAUUUGUAUAACCAAAAUAUNAAAAUAUUUAGGUACAUGUGUUCCCCUCCGAAAUAAUUAAAAUAUUAAAAAGGGGUCGAAAGCACUCACUUUUGUAACGUGAACGAGGCUCGCGUUGUGAAACUUUUCAUGAAAGUUGUUACGUGACGUUCCUUGUCUUAAAGCGAACCACCGACUAUAUUUAUAUUUCCUAAUAAACCAAAGGGGUAGUUUUGAUAUUAAUUAUUAAGUAUAUGGUGGUCCUUGUUAAAAUAAAUAGACUCUAGAGUUUGAUUUUGCCAAAAUCAUACUUCAGGGACUAAUAUUGCGAAUUAUUCCCAUAACAGGGGUUAAACAUGUGCAUUUGAAUCUGAUUUGGAGCUCCAGGACUUAUUCUGUUAGGGUUUUCAGAUGGAGGGGUUGUUUCUGGAUAAAUUGAAUCACUUUUUUGGGAUUGGGACCUAUUUGAAUAAAUAAUUUAACAGUGGGGGUAGUUUAGUCAUUUCAUAAUUAAAAAUGCCUUAGGGUUUUAAGUCCCGUGUUUAAUGGUCCACUUAAAAGGAAUUAGGGCUUUACCCCGUUUCUUUUGUUCUGAUCGGGCAUCUGAAGCAAAGGUGAUACGAAUCGUUCAAGGAAGUCACGAGGGAAACAGAUGAACGGGAGAAACACGAAGGGAAUCAAGCAUUUGCCGCCGGUCGAUGAUUGAUCGUGAAGAAGGUAGAGCGCGCCGGCAGGCGAGAAGGAGGCACGAAGAUGGCUGCGAGGUCCGAUAGAUUUCGAUCGGUUGCAGGCUGAGGUUGCGUUUCCGAUGUUUCGGUCGAUCCGAAGGAAGAGAAGAGACGGCAGCAGAGGGUUCUCUCUUUCCCGUCCGGCUGCUAGAUGCGAGGAAAGAUGAGGUCCGAAGAGACGUAGGUAAGAGAAGCGAGCCGUGCUUUUCUCGUCCGACUGCGAGGUGUGAUGAGCGGCGUCGCAAACAGCGGUAGCAACAAGAGGAUACCCUUGAAGCUCUGUGGUUGACGGGAAUCGUAGAGAAGGAAAACGAAGGGAAAAGGCUCGAUCCUUGUCUGGCCGGUCCAAGAGAGAUGGAAACGAUCGCAGGUAUGCGAUUUGUUGAAGAAAAAGGGGUAACCGGAGGCAGUCAAGGUUUCGGUGGUGCUGGAUCGCUGGCACCGGUGAUGGAGUUCGGUACCAACUGAAGCUAUAAUGGUGAUCGGAAGUGAACCAGGUGGUGGUGGCUAGGAUUUUUCAACAACAGCAGCAGUCGUCGGUCAAGAGAAAGAGGUCGGGGGAUAAGAGGGGGCUGGCGCCUCCGGUGUUUGCUCCGGGGAAAUAUAGAGGGUAGAGGGAACAUUGAGUGGGUGAUAGAGGGGAGAGCUUCGGCAACAACAGUGGGGGCAGGUUGAAGAAAGAGUGCAGGUUAUAUUUUUAUGGGUUCCAGCUGGAUUUGUACAAUUGUGUUGGAGUGUUGUAUUGCCUAAUCCCUUUGAGUGUGUAAGUCAUCAAAACAAAAUGUAGAAGUAAUUUAUUUAUUUAUUUGUAUUUGGUGUGAAAUUUGGAAUUAUGAAUUUUUCCAUCUAUUAUGUGUAUAUUUUGUGUAUUUAGCUGUAUAUUUGAUCCAAUGGAUAUGUAUUGGUGUAUGUAUUCUUGAGAAAUUACAUAGGUUCAAUAAUUAUGUUUUUUGUGUAUGAAUUCAUGCAUUAUUUAAAAAAGGGAUAAU